CUGGGCCAUAACCUGACGCUGGAGAAGCGAAAGCAUGGGGAGCGGAACAGGGAUUAGAUACCCUUGGUAGUCCAUGCCGUAAACGUUGGGCGGCUAGGUGUGGGACUCAUUCCACGAGUUCCGUGCCGCAGCUAACGCAUUCAGUCGCCCCGCCUGGUGGAGUACGGCCGCAAGGCUAAAACUCAAAGGAAUUGACGGGGGCCCGCACAAGCGGCGGAGCAUGCGGAUUAAUUGAGC
Molecule: ribosomal RNA, 237 nt
Filed under: uncultured Actinomycetes bacterium
Lineage: Bacteria; Bacillati; Actinomycetota; Actinomycetes
Description: uncultured actinobacterium partial 16S rRNA
Rfam family: Bacterial small subunit ribosomal RNA
Source: RNAcentral